RNAcentral lists this ribosomal RNA (497 nucleotides) under uncultured bacterium. Its description in RNAcentral is "partial 16S ribosomal RNA". It matches the Rfam family "Bacterial small subunit ribosomal RNA", at positions 28 to 507 of the family's 1533-position model. The record is from RNAcentral.
GAUGAACGCUGGCGGCGUGCCUAAUACAUGCAAGUCGAGCGAACAGACGAGGAGCUUGCUCCUCUGACGUUAGCGGCGGACGGGUGAGUAACACGUGGAGAACCUACCUAUAAGACUGGGAUAACUUCGGGAAACCGGAGCUAAUACCGGAUAAUAUAUUGAACCGCAUGGUUCAAUAGUGAAAGACGGUUUUGCUGUCACUUAUAGAUGGAUCCGCGCCGCAUUAGCUAGUUGGUAAGGUAACGGCUUACCAAGGCAACGAUGCGUAGCCGACCUGAGAGGGUGAUCGGCCACACUGGAACUGAGACACGGUCCAGACUCCUACGGGAGGCAGCAGUAGGGAAUCUUCCGCAAUGGGCGAAAGCUUGACGGAGCAACGCCGCGUGAGUGAUGAAGGUCUUCGGAUCGUAAAACUCUGUUAUUAGGGAAGAACAAAUGUGUAAGUAACUAUGCACGUCUUGACGGUACCUAAUCAGAAAGCCACGGCUAACUACGUG